This 486-nucleotide ribosomal RNA is filed under the name uncultured bacterium. RNAcentral's name for it is "partial 16S ribosomal RNA". It matches the Rfam family "Bacterial small subunit ribosomal RNA", at positions 29 to 507 of the family's 1533-position model. The record is from RNAcentral.
AUUGAACGCUGGCGGCAUGCCUUACACAUGCAAGUCGAACGGCAGCACGGGUGCUUGCACCUGGUGGCGAGUGGCGCACGGGUGAGUAGUACAUCGGAACAUGUCCUGUAGUGGGGGAUAGCCCGGCGAAAGCCGGAUUAAUACCGCAUACGAUCCACGGAUGAAAGCGGGGGACCUUCGGGCCUCGCGCUAUCGGGUUGGCCGAUGGCGGAUUAGCUAGUUGGUGGGGUAAAGGCCUACCAAGGCGACGAUCAGUAGCUGGUCUGAGAGGACGACCAGCCACACUGGGACUGAGACACGGACCAGACUCCUACGGGAGGCAGCAGUGGGGAAUGUUGGACAAUGGGCGAAAGCCUGAUCCAGCAAUGCCGCGUGUGUGAAGAAGGCCUUCGGGUUGUAAAGCACGUUUGUCCGGAAAGAAAUCCUUGAAUCUAAUACAGUCGGGGGAUGACGGUACCGGAAGAAUAAGCACCGGCUAACUACGUG